RNAcentral lists this long non-coding RNA (224 nucleotides) under Elaeis guineensis (African oil palm). RNAcentral describes it as "long non-coding RNA (EGUI_LNC066213)". Lineage: Eukaryota; Viridiplantae; Streptophyta; Magnoliopsida; Arecales; Arecaceae. The record is from RNAcentral.
UCGAGCUAUAGAAUCGAAUUAGGUCCUUAGAUUAAUCGAUUUUACAUAUAGGUGUCAAUCAAUUCGAUCAACAAUAAUUAUAUUAUCUUAAGCUCUAUUGACUUAAUCCUAAUCAACACUUGACUCAGUUUGAUCAACUGCUAAAUCGAUUUAGACCCAAUAUGAUCAAAUCAAAAAUUCUAAAUGUAAUCCAAUUACAUGGCCUAAUUUGAUCUACCCAUGAC